This 497-nucleotide ribosomal RNA is filed under the name uncultured bacterium. RNAcentral describes it as "partial 16S ribosomal RNA". It matches the Rfam family "Bacterial small subunit ribosomal RNA", at positions 28 to 507 of the family's 1533-position model. The record is from RNAcentral.
GAUGAACGCUGGCGGCGUGCCUAAUACAUGCAAGUCGAGCGAACGGACGAGAAGCUUGCUUCUCUGAUGUUAGCGGCGGACGGGUGAGUAACACGUGGAUAACCUACCUAUAAGACUGGGAUAACUUCGGGAAACCGGAGCUAAUACCGGAUAAUAUUUUGAACCGCAUGGUUCAAAAGUGAAAGACGGUCUUGCUGUCACUUAUAGAUGGAUCCGCGCUGCAUUAGCUAGUUGGUAAGGUAACGGCUUACCAAGGCAACGAUGCAUAGCCGACCUGAGAGGGUGAUCGGCCACACUGGAACUGAGACACGGUCCAGACUCCUACGGGAGGCAGCAGUAGGGAAGCUUCCGCAAUGGGCGAAAGCCUGACGGAGCAACGCCGCGUGAGUGAUGAAGGUCUUAGGAUCGUAAAACUCUGUUAUUAGGGAAGAACAUAUGUGUAAGUAACUGUGCACAUCUUGACGGUACCUAAUCAGAAAGCCACGGCUAACUACGUG